AUGAAUGGCUUUUACUUAAUGCUCUUUAGUUGCAUUUGUCUUAUGUUUUUCUGUUUUUACAUGCUUAGCACGCCCAGUUUAGGGAGUCUAGGAGUCUGUUUGAUGAAAUAUUCCACAGUCGUCCCGAGGAAGAAGAGUAUCCACCACGGGAUGAUUUCAGUGAUGCAGAUCAGCUUAGAGUGGGCAAUGAUGGCAUCUUCAUGUUGGCAUUUUUCAUGGCAUUUAUUUUCAACUGGAUUGGAUUUUGUUUAUCCUUCUGUAUAACAAAUACCAUAGCUGGAAGGUAUGGUGCAAUCUGUGGAUUUGGUCUCUCUCUGAUCAAAUGGAUUCUCAUUGUACGGGUAUGUUUUUUGAUUCUGUUUGUGAAACCAGCCCUUAACAGUUUAUCCAAGCAUACACAGUAUUGGCACUAUAAACAAGUAAAUUAAUUCCAGCACUUAUUGCUUAGAACUUUUUCUAACUUGCGCUUUAGUAGGGAAUUUACUUGCUAUAAAUUCAUAUAUACUUAGUAACGAUGAAGCUUAAUCUAUUUUUCUGAUUUACCAUUUACGUGGCACUUCCUCUAAAAUAAAUGUAGAUUGACUCAUUCUUUGCACAAAUAUUUAAAAGCAUGCAGAAGUGGAGCAAAUAUUAAAAUAUCAUUUUUAUUAUUCAGAAAGUUUCCUAAAAGAAAGACUUAUAAGUGGUGGCUCAGCCUAUCAAGGGGGAGAAAAAAAAAAAACCACACUGCUUUCUUAUAUCUUACAGGGGAAAAGAAAACCAGGUACAUNAAAUGUAAGUUUUUUUUUUUUUUUUUUUUUUUUUUUUUAAAGAUAUAUGCUUAGAGAAGCAGGUGAAGUGGGAUUAAUAAUGCUGUGAUCUUUCUGGGAAUUGAGUAUUCAUUUGAUAUUUUAAUGAACUUACAAAAUGCAUAAUGCUUACUGCUGAAUAAUAGAAACUGUAUUAUUUAUAUGGGGGUAAAGUAUGUACUGGUUCUUUUAGUUCAACUCAGCAAUUCUGUUUCUAGAUUUUUUUUUUUCUUGAUUAUCAUUAGAAAUGAAUGCAGUACAGCAUUAAGCCUUUAAAGGUUUCAGAGGAGGUAGCUUUAUUUUGAAGAAAACAUUUUAAUUUCAGUGCAGUUACUUGAGGGGAACGAGGAAUAACAGCUAUAUCUACAGUUCUUUUAGCAUCUGUGAUUUUUAUCUGUUUGAAGAGGUUGCCUGAUACUACCUUUUUUUUGUAAAGUGAUGCCUGAGUUGCAUGAUUUCUUGGUUGAUAACUACUGAAAUGCCCUAGAAAAGA
Molecule: long non-coding RNA, 1281 nt
Filed under: Pavo cristatus (Indian peafowl)
Lineage: Eukaryota; Metazoa; Chordata; Aves; Galliformes; Phasianidae
Description: lncRNA (ENSPSTG00000010095.1)
Source: RNAcentral